CAGCCGCCGCGGUAAUACGAAGGGUGCAAGCGUUACUCGGAAUUACUGGGCGUAAAGCGUGCGUAGGUGGUGGUUUAAGUCCGUUGUGAAAGCCCUGGGCUCAACCUGGGAAUUGCAGUGGAUACUGGGUCACUAGAGUGUGGUAGAGGAUAGUGGAAUUUCCGGUGUAGCAGUGAAAUGCGUAGAGAUCGGAAGGAACGUCUGUGGCGAAGGCGACUAUCUGGGCCAACACUGACACUGAGGCACGAAAGCGUGGGGAGCAAACAGGAUUAGAUACCCCUGUAGUCCCUGUCUCUUAUAC
Molecule: ribosomal RNA, 301 nt
Filed under: uncultured bacterium
Lineage: Bacteria
Description: partial 16S ribosomal RNA
Rfam family: Bacterial small subunit ribosomal RNA
Source: RNAcentral